GGAGUCUGGGCCGUGUCUCAGUCCCAAUGUGGCCGAUCACUCUCUCAAGUCGGCUACUGAUCGUUGCUUUGGUAGGCCGUUACCCUGCCAACUGGCUAAUCAGACGCGGGUCCAUCUUGUACCACCGGAGUUUUUCACACUGUACCAUGCAGUACUGUGCGCUUAUCCGGUAUUAGCACCCCUUUCGGGAUGUUGUCCCCAUCAGAAAGGCAGGUUGCCUACGCGUUACUCACCCGUUUGCCACUAGGUCCUCUCAUUCAGCAAGCUGAUCAAAAGAACCCCGUCCGACUUGCAUGUGUUAAGCACGCCGCCAGCGUUCGUCCUCGAGCCACUGAUCAAACUCU
This 344-nucleotide ribosomal RNA is filed under the name uncultured Lachnospiraceae bacterium. Its description in RNAcentral is "partial 16S ribosomal RNA". The record is from RNAcentral. Lineage: Bacteria; Bacillati; Bacillota; Clostridia; Lachnospirales; Lachnospiraceae.